Molecule: non-coding RNA, 30 nt
Filed under: Cricetulus griseus (Chinese hamster)
Lineage: Eukaryota; Metazoa; Chordata; Mammalia; Rodentia; Cricetidae
Source: RNAcentral
UACUACUCAGGAAAAAAAGAACCAUUUGGC